Molecule: long non-coding RNA, 4499 nt
Filed under: Canis lupus familiaris (dog)
Lineage: Eukaryota; Metazoa; Chordata; Mammalia; Carnivora; Canidae
Description: lncRNA (ENSCAFG00845015702.1)
Source: RNAcentral
UGAUGAAUGUGUAACAGAUAUAUUACAGAAAUACAGCAUAGGACACUAUCAGAAUGUAGCUUAUUUUAUCAUUUACAAAAUGAAAUAUAUGCACUGUGAGUAAACUUCUCUUGUUCCUGGAUAAAAACUUGGGCAAGUCCCAUAUAUGUCUACGUCUCAUGUUUAGCUAAUAGUCUGUUUUAUGGUCACUGUAAUUUUCAAGUACAAUAUAGAUCUAAUUCAAAAAUCAGAAAUCCAGUCCUGAAUAAUAAUGCAAAUUACCAACAUGACUUAGCAUUAAAUCAUCUCCACCCAAGGUCUUAGCAAUGGGACAGAAUAUGGUUAUUUUCUCAUUCCAUACCUGACACCAGCUGUUACACGGGAUUUCUGACCCCUGCAGUUAUUGGUUUAUAAGAUAGAGAGGACUCAGGGGAAGGAGACCUUCUGCCAAAGUAGGAUGCAGAUGAAAUCUACUUUUGCAGGAACUUUCAUGGGUUCCUCAAAGAUUUCUAUUUAUAGUUCUGAAUGUUUAUGGCAAACACUUCUCUUUGGCAGAUGUUGCUUGUACAUCUUUCCUCAGUCCCUAGAAAUUGCCUCUGGGGUCAUUCUGUCCCUCUAGGCGAUGCUAUCAUAUAGGACCCCAGAUGGCUGCAGUCUGGCUUUUCCUUAUGAAUGACACACCUGCAGUCAUGUGAAACUCUCAAAUAUUAUGUGUUCUAGAAACCUUUAGGAGUUCAGGUCUAUCUCAGUGCAGGAACAACUCUCUUGAUCCCUUGCUUUGACACUAAAGCUGUAUACCAAUUGCUAGAUUUCUCAAGAAGCAGGGCAGUCAGAGCCCAGUCCAACAUGCCAUUCCACCAACUACAGGAUUCAUGGGUUAAGCCUCAAUGUAUCCUUGUUAAAGUGAAGAGAUAGAUAAUCCUUACUUGUCCCCACUUGCGGAAGUGGGACUCAUACCUCUUCAGCAGCUCUCUACCCAAAUACUCUACACAAACUUUGUUCUAAUCCAUUUUUUAAAGAUUUAUUUAUUUAUUCAUGACGGGGUGGGGGGGGCACAGACACAGGCAGAGGGAGAAGCAGGCUCCAGGCAGAGAGUCCGACAUGGGACUCAAUCCCAGGUCUCCAGGAUCACACCCCAGGUUGAAGGCAACGGUAAACCACUGGGCCACCGGGGCUGCCCUGUUCUAAUCCAUUUUACAUACUUCUUGGAUGUCAAAAAUCACCCCUACCCAGUUCUCCAGGGGUGAUGGUAAAUGAAGAAGAACACAUUUUAGUUAUUAUAGAGACUUAAAAAUGUUGCAGUUAUUUCAUUCCCGUGGUAUCAGAAAGGCUAAAUGCCCUGAAAUGUAUAAGACAGUUUCAUUGCUUCCUACAAAGGUACUACUAAUAGAAAAAGAAAACUGAUUAGUUUUUGGUCAUUUUCCUUGAGCAUCUUGUUAUUUUAUAGCUAUACAUCUUGCCGCCUCAGUACAAAUUUUACACUUUACAACCAAAUGUAUAUUUCUAAGAGAAAUAAAAAAUGUUCUGGGGCUUUGGGGUGGUAGAGAGAGCACAUCCAGUUGGGGAAACUAAGGAAGGCUUCAUAGAAAUGACUUGAACUGAAAGAUGUUGACAGGUACAAAUAUUUACAAGUAUAAGCUAUUUAUGCUGAACUCAGUUUUUGUAACUUAACUUCAAAAACCUAGAUAAAACAUUCAUUUACAUAAAUUUCUAAAGCGAAGAUACUCUUGAGAUUAAUAGUUUAUGGGUAUAAAAAAGACCCCUGCAAAGAGCUGUUUUAUUGCCUAGAUUUAUACUACUAUGCUCAUUAGGUAAUCUCUAUACAUACAUAGUUGUCUGAAAACUAUGAUUCACUCCCAGCUUUGUUCUUCAUGAGAUUAGAAAAACUUUAGGGUCAUUUUGAAUGCAGAAUAUCAUUCUAUUUCCAUAACUAUAGGCUCUGUAUAAUACUAGAUGUAUUUCUGCAAGCACUGAAAAUAAAUCUUUCGGUUUAGAAUUUCCAUUCGGCAUUAUUUGCACUAGACCUUUUAUGAACUUAGACAAUUUAAUCAUGCCUUGUAUUUGCAUCUCUUUUCUUUCUCCUGGACUUUAUUUUCCACACACCAGCCCCCCUGUUACCAACUCCUUGACAAUGCUUUUAAGAUCGUGUUUUCUUCUUUCUCCAGCCUCAUCUGUAACUCCAUACUUCAGUCCCCAACAUUUCUCUUCCAUAUAUGAUAAUCUAUUUAGAGUUUCCCACAAGAAAGAUGUUCCCUAUCUGCAUUUGUUAUAAGCAUGAUCACUUCUUCCAUCCCUUGUACCUCCAUCUUUCAGUUGUUUAGGUAUCUCCUUCUCUUAGAUGAUUCCCAUGAUUCUCCUACCCCUAAGCCUCAUACUGUGUUAAGCACUCCCCUGAACAACUUUUAAAGUUUUACAAUCGGAUAUUUAUUGUAUGUGCCCCCUAAUUGACCUUUAAGUUCCUUAAAGGAAAGAAAAAUAUGCUGUGGACUUUGUAUUCUUGGCAUUAGCAUAGUGUCUAGUACAAAGUUGAGGCUUAAUAAAUAAUGGUAGAAGGAAUGAUGCAUUAGUUAAUUAAGCUACACAGAACAUAAAAUGAGCUUUCUGUAUUUUAGAAAGUAAUAUUCUUUUUACAUUAAAUUCCUAUUUUAUUUCAGCAUUUCUAGGUCUUAGGUCUGUAUCCCAUCACUACAAUCCGAAGACAGGAAUAGCUUGGGAUUUUUUUUUUUUUUCAGAUGUUUGUCAUGAUUAAAUAGUCUCUUAAAGAGUAUGGUAAAUAUUUUUAAAAGUUAGCUGAGGAUUAAUAUGAGAAUAGUUUAUUUUAGAUAUUUAAAAUACCUUAAAACAUUUUAAAGCAUCAAGUUGAUGCUUAAGGAUUCUUAUAUCUUCCUUCUCUUUUUGAAAGCCCUACAAAUUUGGUCUUUAAGACUUAAAAUUUUUAAAUUAAAUUAUUUUAACACAGUGGAGAGGAGAGAGACUUUUUGUACAUGAACAGAUAGAAAGAGGGAAAAAAGAGAUGGAUUGACAAAACUAUGUGGGUGUUUCUAUUUUCCAGUGAAUUAGAAGAGCUUGCAACAGCAGCAAAUUAUAGUCUUGAGGAAACUCUACUGUGGGUUUCUGAUGGAAAAUAAUAGACAGGAUUUACUUCCAGAUGGGAAACUGAGAGAUAGCUGUCUUGAUCUCUUCAUUUCAUAUAGGCUUUCUAAUUUUGUAUUGCUCUUGAAAAGUUUUACUUUUAAGAUACCAUUUCCACAACCUGAAAGAAUUCUGAGAUGAUACUGAAUACCAUUGCUUUUCCUUUACCUCCCUCAUUGUAUUGCAAGCAACUAAAUCUUAAAGUUGAGAUUUCUUUCCAAUUAGGGAAACUAAUGAGGAUGCAUACCUACAAUGAUCUCAGGGGUAUAAAUAUUGAUAUCUUAAUUACAGAGUUAGGUGACAGUAAUAUUAAUCAAUUAUAAAUUCAGGAAAAUUUGACUUAUCUAUAAAAAUACAUAAUAUUAAUCACUGAAUUAAUUAUAUAUAGAAAUGGUCCCCUCACUUGAAGAUAUAAGUAGCACUAGGAUUUCUUGUAGCUACUGACUUUUUUACUUGAUGCUGUAGGUGUUAUUGCUUUGAAGUUGUUGAAUACCAAUGAUGUCCAUCUGGACAAUUAUUUCUAAGCACCUAAUGUUGCUCUUCAUUUAUUUCAGAUAUUAUUUGGUAUGUUUCUUAGAAAACACCUUUUGGGCACUAUGUUAUGCUUCCUCAGCUUUAACAACCUUGUAUUGCCAUCAUGACUCAUCAUGGUACUUGUUCUACACCAGGUACUUGUUGUACCAGUAUAUACUAAAUAUUACAGGUUCAAUUUUUUUCCUUGUAAUUAAGAAUACGCAUUGCUGCUUAGACCAAAAAUAACCUCAGCGAUUAUAUUAAGUGUAAGUUGCUUAUUUAAUAGAUUAUAGGUCUGCUAGGACCAUCUUUUUUCUAAUCUUUUGUAUCUAUAGUUAUAGCACCUGAGAAAUAUUAAAAGAGCAGAGGAAUGUGCCAUAAAUUUAUUAUAGUGAUCUAUUCUUUGGCAGUGCUUUGACCUUACUAAGUUGUUCUCUCCUUAUAAAAUAGUAAAGCCUAAACAAAUUCCUUAAUUUCUGGAUUCUAUUGUAUCCAGUGCCUCACAGUAUAGCAGUUGAGUAUAUCUAAUCUUCAUAAGAUAAUGCUAUCAUUUUGAGGACUUUAUAUGGUAAGUAUUUAAUAUAUUACUUUCUUAAGUCAGCACAGAAGUAGACAAUAUUAGAUACCAUACUCAAAGAAAGACUUAUUAUUUGCCAUUUUGAGGAAAGUCCUAAUAAAAUAUAUUGAUUUACAUCGCACGUAUUUGCAAAGAGUGCUUUGCAAAUAGCAACAUACAUAAUUGUCUUAACAACCCAGUGAGAUAGAUUUUAUUUUUAACUCCAGUUUAUAGGUGUGGUGACUGAGGCAUAGAGAGGUUAAGUAACUUACCCAAGGUCACAACAGGAGGAGUCACAAUUUAAAAAAAAAAAAAAAAA